CUUUUUAGGGCUGCACCCAUGGCAUAUGGAGUUUCCCAGGCUAGGGGUUGAAUCAGAGCUACAGCUGCCGGCCUCCACCACAGCCAUAGCCACAGCAGAUCUGGGCCAUGUCUGCGGCCUACACCACAGCUCAAGGCAACGCUGGAUCCUUAACCCACUGAGCGAGGCCAGGGAUCGAACCCAAAACCUCGUGGUUCCUAGUCAGAUUCGUUUCCACUGUGCCACGACAGAAACGCUUUUUCUUUUACUCUUAGCUGGUUCUUUUACUCCAAGUCUGAGGGCUACCCUCUAGAAGCUGGAAACUGGACCUGCAGCAGCCGGCUCUGAGGUCACCUUCCUCUUGCCAUCUUAAGCAGCAUCCCUUGGCCAAGUUCAUGUUCUGUCCCUCUACCUGCAGUGUCACACCUUGGAGCUGCCCCGCUGGAGUUAAAAACAUCACUCUUAGAGAAGGGUCUUCUGUUCCUAAAUAGGCCAGGUCACCCCUGCCUCAGGACCUUUGUACAUGCUGCACUUUCUUCCUGGAAUAUUCUUUCCCUGUAUCUUUGCAUGGCUAUCUGCUUAUUCUGGUCUAGGUCAAGUGUCACCUCUCAGAGAGGCCUUAAGUAGUCCCUGCCCUGAUCCCUCUAGUGGGAUCCACAUUCAUCUAGAUCAUUUUCUUCCCAGAACUCUUUGUUGUCUGUCUCCCAGAGGCCCUGGUCUAUUUUGGUCAUUGCUGUAUCCCCAGCACCUACAUCACUGCCUCGCACAUGGUAGGUGCACAAUAAUUAUUUAUUGAAUGAAUGAAUGACUGAGCUCUUUAACUCUUCAUGGCUACACUGUAAAGCAGGGACAGGAGGGGAAGCAACAGCUCAAGGUCACAAAGCCAGGAAGGGGCAGGAAGGAAGGCGGGGACCAGGUGCCCUGCUUCCAAGCUUCCUGUGGUCCCCAGAUGGGAACAGGGGAGACCUGUGGACCUCUAGGCCCCUUCAGCCACCCAGAAGGGGUCAAGUGUGGAGUGAGGCUCAGGGAACGGCUUCUGAAUGUGGUAAGAGUGAGCCAGCCAGGCAGCCAGGAGGCGGGACUGUUUAUAGGAGCUGGAGACCAUCACCAUGACAACUGGACAGCCUACAGCUUCCAGCUGUCACCAGGGAUGCAGAUUUGCAUUUGGCUAGGAUGCAAUGAGGACAAUGGGGACAGGAAGUGACAGAGGGGUGGGGACCCCAAACACCAGUCUGGGAGGAGAUUUCUGUUCUGAGAGUUGCCAAAAAACAGAAGGACCUGGUGAUAUCACAUAAGUGUGUGUGUGUGUGUGUGUGUGUGGAGGAGGAGAGUCUGGGCUAUGUGGAGCCAGGAUGCUGGGUUUGAAUCCCUGCUCUGCCACUUCUGCAUUGUGACAUCUUAUGCAAGUGAUUUAAGUCAGUGCCUUGGUCCCCUCCAAGGUAAACUGGGGAGAGACACAGUCCCUUUUAGGGCUGCUGUGAUGGUUAAGGGAGAUAAUAUUCUUACCUCGCUUAGGAUGUACCUUGCUUGUUUACUAGGUUCUAGAAAUCAACUUACAUCUGACCUUUCGGUUGCCUUCUUUCUGAGUAGUGGGAAAUUUGGUCUCAGUGAUUCUCAGGGGUCCCCACUUCCCUGACUUUUUUUUUUGUCUUUUUAGGGCUGCACUCAUGGCAUAUGGAACUUCCUAGGGUAGGAGUCAAAUCAGAGCUGCAGCUGCCAGCCUACACCACAGCCACAGCAACACCAGAUCUGAGCCACGUCUUCACCCUACACCACAGCUCAUGGCAACGCUGGAUCCUUAACACACUGAGUGAGGCCAGGGAUUGAACCCGCAUCCUCAUGGUUACUAGUUGUGUUCCUUACCACUGAACCACGAUGGGAACUCCUCUCUGGCUUUUUCAUUCACUUAACAAAUAUUUAUUGAGCACCCAAUCUGUGCAAGUCAAUGUCCCAGGGGCUGGGAACACAACAGUGAAAAAAGCAGACAAAAAUCUCUGCCUCGCCUGUGUAGCUGGAAUUUUAGCAGGGUAGACAUUAAAUAUGAUAAAAAGUUCACACAACAGGCCAGUAGUUGAAGCUCGAAUUCAAACCCAAGUCUCUCUGCCUCCUGAGCUUUUCUUCCAUUCCACAUUGUUGGGACUCUGGACAAGAGGGUCCUUGGAGAUAAUAGACAAAAGACCUGAGUCGCAUUGUGGCCACUAUUUUGCUGCGUGACCUUGGUCAAGUCCUUUUUCCAACAUGACCUUCAGUUUCUCCAUCUGUAAAAUGGGGAACAUAGUAGUGCCUACACCAUCUGGUUGUCAUGAAGCUUAAAUGAAAAAACCCAGGUAAGUAAAGUGCUUAGGACAGGGCUGGGCAGGUAGCAGUGAACGUGAGUUUUAUGAUCACGGCUGAUUUUUGGAGGAGAGGAAGGGGGUCUGUGGCUUCUUCCUUGCCUGCAGCCACCGUGCUCCGGGCCUCCCCACUGAUCACAGCUUCCCAGCAGCCCUCAGGCGGCACCUUCAUCCAUCUCCUGAUAGAUGCGCAGACCUGGCUCGCUUACCCGGGAAGCAGGCACUUAAGGAGCUGCUUCCCCGGUUUCUCUUUUAAUUUUCAUUAUAUAAAUUUCACAUUUCCUGGAAUAGAGAUCUUGAACGGCUGGACUCAUUUGGAAAUCGAGUCAGCAAAGGCCUCAUUUAUAUUAAUGGGGCCGCUGGUCUGGGUCUCAGGCGGGCAGAGACAAGGAUGGAUGGUAGCAAUUCCCAGCGGAGCUGCUCCAGGCUGAGCUCUCGGACACCGGCUUGGAGGAGCGAAUGCCUCUGGGUUUAGCUGAGAUGAUUCCCGGUUUGGGAGAGGCUCCUGGAUGCAAGGACUGUGCUGUUCCCUGACUUAAACCCCUCUGUGGCUGCCCACUGCUCUCUGAGUAAUCCUGCUUGACCAAGUCCUAUAAGUUGGGUCCCUGCUGAUGCCUGCCACCUCCUAUCUCCUACCCUUCCCCUCACUCAUCCCUCUGCAGCCACGCUGGCCUCCUAAGCGUGUUCCUACCUCAGUGCCUUUGCACUUGCUAUGCCUUCUGCCAGAAGAGCUCUCCCAGCUCUUCUGGUGACUUGCUCUGCCUGUCGGCCAGAUCUUAUCUCACAGUCACCACCUCUGGGGGGGUCUUCCCUGACUGCCUGUCUGGAGUGAUACUCCCCAGUCAGCCUAUAUCACCACCUGUUCAUUUUCUGCAUAGCGCUGAGCAGUACAUGUAUCUUCUUGUUUACUAGUGUGUUUUUUCCACAAUUAAAAAAAAAAUUGGAGCAAAAAAGAACCUGCAGCUUCUGUCUUUCUCCGGGAUCACUCACUUUGGGGGAAGCCCUCAGCCAUGUCGUGAGGACACUCAAAAAAUGCUGUGGAGAGAUUCAUGUGGGGAAAAAAACCAAUGCCUCCUGCCAAUAGCCCCACACACCUACCUGCCAGCUGCAUGGGGGAGCCAUCUAGGAAGAGGGUCCCCCAGCCCCAGUUUGGCCUUCGGAGGACUAUGGCCCUGGCCAAUAUUUUGACUGCAGCCUCAUGGGAGAGUCUGUUCUAGAACCAGGCAGCUAAAUGACUCCCAAAUCCCUAAGCCGCAGAAACUGGGUGAGAUAAUAAAUGCUGUUCUAAGC
Molecule: long non-coding RNA, 3602 nt
Filed under: Sus scrofa (pig)
Lineage: Eukaryota; Metazoa; Chordata; Mammalia; Artiodactyla; Suidae
Description: lncRNA (ENSSSCG00000059733.1, ENSSSCG00110029212.1)
Source: RNAcentral